Molecule: RNA transcript, 1700 nt
Organism: Cynocephalus volans (Philippine flying lemur)
Lineage: Eukaryota; Metazoa; Chordata; Mammalia; Dermoptera; Cynocephalidae
Gene: GJC3
Gene name: gap junction protein gamma 3
Exons: 3
Source: RefSeq, a predicted model, not a curated record
AUCUGCUUGUACCCGCCGGCUGCCUGCCAUUUUCUGCCAUGAGUAGAAACAGCGUGAGGCCCGUGCCAGAUGCAGCUGUCCCUGAAUCAUUCAGACCAAAUAAUUGAGAACCUUGCUCAUGGUCAAAUGGCUGGUGACUGGUAAAGUCACCAGGUAACCCGGGUCUGGCUGAUUACAAGGUUGGCUCACUCUGCACCCAACAUCCCUGGACAGGGGUCUCCAUGAAAAUUGUUUCCCUGGCCUGCUGAAGUCGGGUCUCAUUGUUCCAGUCCUCCAUUCCUUCCACAUACUUCCAUGGUCCCAGAGGCUCAGCCUUCCUGCUGUCACUAUUGUACUCAAAGAAGGGCUGGUCAUUCAGGAUGCCAACAGCCUCAAACUUGGGGAAGCCUUCUCUUGGCUUGGACUGCCCAGUGUAGACAUAGGUCAGAGAGUAAGUACCUGCAAAGAAAGAGAAGACUCUGAGGGCAGGGUUCCAAGCAUGUGAGUCCCAGUGGGGGCAGCAGAGGGCCAGGAGGGGAGACCUAGCCUCUGGGCCUCUUCUUCCCCAGCUCUGUCUGCCCUGCUGUCAGCCUCACCCAUUGGAGGCUCGCUCCAGUGAACAGGCUCUACUUCUCUUCUGGGGACAAUAUUUCAGAGACCAUUCUGUGUCUUCACUACAUUGUUUCCUCUGCUUGGCACCUAAGAAGACAAUAUCUCUCAGUCACCUUGCAGGUCAAUUGCAACCAUGAGACUGAGUUCUGGCAAAAGGAAAGUGAUGUCUUUCUUGUGGUCCAAGCCCUAUGAGCUGGCUUGACCUGCUGUCUCUUUUCCCUUUACGUGAUGACUGUGGAAGUCACAGGAUGAAAAGGAAGAGUUGCAAGAUGAAAGCAGCCUGGAUCCCUGGGUCAUCACAUGGAGGAAGUGAAGUUGCCUGAUCUGCAUUGAACUUUACUUGAAUGAGAAUUAAGCAUUUGUUGGGUUAGUCACUGAAAGCUUUAUUUGUGACUGGAGAAUAGCAUCAUCUAACCUGGCAAACACCGUUGGUUAAUGAUGGGUUUAUGUUCUAUGAAAUAGGUCAUUAGGCAAUUUUGCUCUCGUGCAAACAUCAUAGAGUGUGCUUACACAUACCUAGAUGGUGUAGUCUAUGACCCACCUGGACUACAUGGUGUAGCCAUUAUAACCUGACGGGACCACUGUCGUGUGUGAGGCCCAUCGUUUAGCAGUGCAUGACUGCAUGUCCUAUUAGUUCUGUUUCUCUGGAAAAUUUUGAUUAACGCAGGUUUUUGUAUCAAAUGUGAUUAACAUUCUAAAUGUGAUUAAUUGUUACAAAACUGCCAUGUAAAACCUUGAUGGAGUUUGGAUGUAUUGUCCUCCCAGAACUCAUGUGGAAAUCUGAUCCCCAACGUGGCACUGUAAGGAGCUGUUUGAGUCAUGUGCGUGGAUCCCUCAUGAAUGGAUAAGUGCUCUCCCUGUGGGGUGGGGUUAGUGAGGUUUCACUUUAUUGGUUCUCGUGAGAGCUGGUUGUUUAAAAGACCCUGGCACUUCCCCUGCCUCUGUCUUGCUUCCUCUCGCCAUGUGAUCUGUCUGUACCCGCCGGCUGCCUGCCGCUUUCCGCCAUGAGUAGAAGCAGCCUGAGGCCCACACCAGAAGCAGCUGCCGCAGAAGCAGAAGCCAAAUAAACCUGUAUUCUUUAUAAAUUACCCAGUCUUGGGUAUGCUCAA